Molecule: transfer RNA, 72 nt
Filed under: Flavobacteriales bacterium
Lineage: Bacteria; Pseudomonadati; Bacteroidota; Flavobacteriia; Flavobacteriales
Description: tRNA-Arg
Rfam family: tRNA
About the family: Transfer RNA (tRNA) molecules are approximately 80 nucleotides in length. Their secondary structure includes four short double-helical elements and three loops (D, anti-codon, and T loops).
Source: RNAcentral
GGCUCCAUAGUUCAAGGGAUAGAAUAAUAGUUUCCUAAACUGUAGAUCUAGGUUCGAGUCCUAGUGGAGUCA